RNAcentral lists this ribosomal RNA (253 nucleotides) under uncultured bacterium. Its description in RNAcentral is "partial 16S ribosomal RNA". It matches the Rfam family "Bacterial small subunit ribosomal RNA", at positions 524 to 776 of the family's 1533-position model. The record is from RNAcentral.
UACGUAGGGAGCAAGCGUUGUCCGGAAUCAUUGGGCGUAAAGCGCGUGUAGGCGGCUUGGUAAGUCUGCUCUGAAAGCCCGGGGCUCAACCCCGGGAGGCGGGUGGAUACUGCUGAGCUCGAGUCCGGAAGAGGCGAGUGGAAUUCCUGGUGUAGCGGUGAAAUGCGCAGAUAUCAGGAGGAACACCAAUGGCGAAGGCAGCUCGCUGGGACGGUACUGACGCUGAGACGCGAAAGCCAGGGGAGCAAACGGG